GGGCUGGUAGCUUAGUCCGGUGGAGCGGUCGUCUUAUACACGACAGGUCGGAGGUUCAAAGCAGGCGAAGCAUGCUUUACCGACAAAACCGAAAGGUUUUGCGGAACCACGAAACUAUGGUUUCGUUGGUAAGCUAACGCUUCGUUUGGUGCAAAUCCUCCCCGGCCCA
RNAcentral lists this transfer RNA (169 nucleotides) under Nanobdellota archaeon. RNAcentral's name for it is "tRNA-Ile". It matches the Rfam family "tRNA". From Rfam's summary of the family: Transfer RNA (tRNA) molecules are approximately 80 nucleotides in length. Their secondary structure includes four short double-helical elements and three loops (D, anti-codon, and T loops). The record is from RNAcentral. Lineage: Archaea; Nanobdellati; Nanobdellota.